Long non-coding RNA from Homo sapiens (human), 2500 nucleotides. The record is from Ensembl. Lineage: Eukaryota; Metazoa; Chordata; Mammalia; Primates; Hominidae.
GAGUCGCGGCGCCUGGGGCGGUGGCCGCCGGACCAAAGCUGGCCUCUCCCGGCUCCUCCUCCUCGCUCCCCAAGGCCUUUCCCACCGCGUCAUUGUCUCGGUUUAUCUGCAGAUACGUCUACCUAGCAGUCAGCCCAGCAGCCUGGCAGUUCAGAGCUCCGCAUCCCCAGGCCUCUGAGUCACAGUUCCUGCCUUCAUGAAACUAGGAGUUGGGGCCACUGCAUUCUACUCCUUCGGGACUAUUGUUUCAUUUCUCAGUCCCUCAAACCCUUUAUUGGAUGAACAUGGGGUUAGGACAGCGGUUCUCCACUGCAACAGUUUUGCCUCCCAGGAGACAUUUGGCAAUGUAUGAAUCAUUUUCAGCCUCUCAUCUGGGGUGAGAUGUCAUUGGAAUCUACAGAUGGUGGAGGGCACAGGCAGGGAGUACAGAAGAUGACCCUCUGCAAUAUGGGUGGGCCUCAUUCAAUUAGUUGAAAACCUUGAGAGCAAAGACUGAGGCUCCCUAAAGUAUAAGGAAUUCUCAAGACUGCAACACGGAAACCCUGCCCAAGCUUCCAGCCUGCUGCCCUGUGGAAUUAAUUCUCCGGACUGCAACAGCCUCUCUUGUCUGCAUUUCCAGCCUGCUGGUCUGCUCUUCAGAUUUCAGACUUGCCAGCCCCCACAACCACGCUAUUUUCUGAUCGGUUUCUGAAACCUGAAAAUGGAAUUAGCAGAAGAACUAUCCUGAACGAAUAUGUGACCACAGAGUAGGAACAGAAAACUAAGGGCAGAAAAAGAUAACCUGCAAAGAAUGCUGGUAAUCAAGUAGAGUUACUGUUGAGCUGAACUGAAUGAUCGGAUCCUCUUGAGCCCCAAAUGAGAUAUAACUAUUACCAUAAUCAAGAGUUGACUGGAGGUAAAGAACACUACAAUCCCAGUGUUCUAGUGACAAAGCCACUAAAGAAGCUGGUUCUGACCUACUGUAAGCAAGCCAUGCAGACUCAGCAGACCAGAAAACGUCUUUCUCCUGCUUUUCAGGCUACUUGCUCAUACCAUUUACCUAUACCACUUAGUUGCUCAUCUAUUAAACUUAGAGGACUUUUCCCUCUUUCAUUUCAUAGCCAGGCAGACUGCCCAAGACACCCUUGGGGAAACCUACUAUUUUUUUCUGUCUACCACGGUGUUUCGAACUUCUCACACUUCUGAGAAUCCUCCUCCUUCUCAGUAGACAACCAUGGAUUCUACUGCAGAAAACACAGAAGCCAUCAGAUUCAAACUCUUUCACCUUCACGCCAACCCAUCUAUAAGCCUUCUUAAAUUUGUACCCAGAUGGGCCUCCUGUCUUUGUGUUAACAUGAAAAAGUGUCUCUUCCUGUCUAUCUAAAGCCAAUCCCACCUCCUACGCUCUGCUGCCCUUCCCAUCUUCUAGGAACCGUGUGCUUCUUUCCUUACAUUGGCUCUCCAGGUGUCUCAUCCAUUCUCAUAGCUUUAAAAGACACUUAUUUUCGUCACUGGUGUCAGCAGCCCAACCUUCUACUCAGACGCCAGCCUAUACACCCUACUGCCUAUCUCACAUCUCUUCUUGAUGUCCCACAGAUAACUCAAUUUAUCUAAAAUGUAACCCAAUUUUUUUUCUUAUCCCUACUCUUAUUAUACUAACUAGCACCAACCGUCAACCCAGUUGCUCAAGCUAGGAAUCUGAAAGUCAUUGAUUUUCGCUUUCCCUCAUUCCUUACAUUUAUCAGCAAACUGUCAAAUCCACUUCCAAAAAUCUCCACUCCAGUCUCCACUGGCACCACCCUAUUUCAAGCUGCCAUCAUCUCUUGCACUGACUACUGCCACAGCCUCCUAACUGGUCUCCUUCAUUCCAUUCAGCACUUUGCAUACAACAGCCAGAGUCAUCUUUUCAGCGCUUUCAUGCCAUUCCCCUGCUGAAAAUCCUUUGCAACUGCUUCUAACUGCACUUAAAUAAAAUCCAAAUGCCGUAUCAGGUCUACAAAGCCCCACACAAUACAGCCUAUCUACUCCUCCAAAUUUAUCCUGUGCUACUCUUCCUUUGCUCCAGCCACACUGGCCUUUUUUAGUUCUAAGAAUCAUAUAACUAAGCUCUUUCCUGCCGCAGUGCCCUUGUACAUGCUACUCCACUCCUGGAAUGUCUAACUCUCUCUCAUCUUUCAGGUUUUAGCAUUAAUUCCAUAUUCUCAGAGAAGCCUUUUUUAGCUACCCUAGCCCUCCAAUGUCCUAUGUCCCCCCAUACUGUUGUAUUUCAGUAUCCUGUGAUAUCACUGAUCAAAAUUUAUAUUCAUUUUGUUUGUUGUUGGUGGGUGGGGGAGGAGGGUGCUAUCUUUCUUUCCUAAUAGAUUAUAAACUGUCUAAGAAGACAAAGGCAAUGUCUAUUUUGAUCACCAUUGUAUUUUCAGCACCUAGCACAGUGCUGGGCAGGCAAGAAAUAUUUAACAAAUGAAUUAAUCCUCCUUUUGAAAAUUUUAAAGAUCUCUCAUUACUCAAAACAAUCUCAACA